RNAcentral lists this long non-coding RNA (276 nucleotides) under Setaria italica (foxtail millet). RNAcentral's name for it is "long non-coding RNA (SITA_LNC001105)". Lineage: Eukaryota; Viridiplantae; Streptophyta; Magnoliopsida; Poales; Poaceae. The record is from RNAcentral.
CUUGAUGAGUUAAUUUAUGCCCAAUCCUUUUUCACCAAGACUUGACUCAAUUGGUGAUUAGCAAAGAAUAAGCAUGUAGUCACGCUGCUCAUGCAUCCUAGAGCCAUUCUCAGUUAACUAGUACGAUGCGUUCACACCUUUGACCUUGCAGCAGCGGCUAACGCUGCUCAUGCAUCCUAGAGCCAUUCUCAGUUAAUUAGUCCGAUGCGUUCACACCUUUGACCUUGCAGCAGCGGCUAACACGUUUCACGAAUGCUAUUGCGCUACGAAGCUAUG